RNAcentral lists this ribosomal RNA (633 nucleotides) under Paraplectana sakaguchii. RNAcentral describes it as "SSU rRNA". It matches the Rfam family "Eukaryotic small subunit ribosomal RNA", at positions 453 to 1088 of the family's 1831-position model. The record is from RNAcentral. Lineage: Eukaryota; Metazoa; Arthropoda; Arachnida; Araneae; Araneidae.
AGAACGGGGGAGGUAGUGACGAAAAAUAACAAUACGGGACUCUUUUGAGACCCCGUAAUUGGAAUGAGUACACUCUAAAUCCUUUAACGAGGAUCCAUUGGAGAGCAAGUCUGGUGCCAGCCGUCGCGGUAAUUCCAGCUCCAAUAGCGUAUAUUAAAGUUGUUGCGGUUAAAAAGCUCGUAGUUGGAUCUCAGAUCCGGCCGGACGGUCCACCUACCGGUGGUUACUGUUCGCUGCCGAUCGUUGAGGCGGUUAUUCUUGAUGAUCUUCACCGGUUGUCUCGGGUGACCGCCAAGUUUACUUUGAAAAAAUUAGAGUGCUCAAAGCAGGCGUGACGCCUGAAUAAUUGUGCAUGGAAUAAUGGAAUAGGACCUCGGUUCUAUUUUGUUGGUUUUCGGAACACGAGGUAAUGAUUAAGAGGGACAGACGGGGGCAUUCGUAUUGCGACGCUAGAGGUGAAAUUCUUGGACCGUCGCAAGACGAACUACUGCGAAAGCAUUUGCCAAGAAUGUUUCCAUUAAUCAAGAACGAAAGUUAGAGGCUCGAAGGCGAUCAGAUACCGCCCUAGUUCUAACCAUAAACGAUGUCAGCCAGCAAUCCGCCUGUGUUCCUCAAAUGACACGGUUGUCGGCU